Dreissena polymorpha is the source of this 1776-nucleotide long non-coding RNA. RefSeq lists it as uncharacterized. The transcript has 2 exons. The record is from RefSeq and is a predicted model, not a curated record. NCBI's taxonomy places the organism in Eukaryota, Metazoa, Mollusca, Bivalvia, Myida, Dreissenidae.
UUAGACAAUUUAAUUUCAAUGCGAAAGUGGUUUCGGUAAUCUCGCGCAGUACACAUAAUACAGGCAUACACUUCUUAUUUCAAUUUUAAUACGUGGUUCAUACCUGUCGGGAUGAACGGUUUAUCGACUAGUCAGACGAGCGCUUCAAUAUUUAUUAAAUUAAUAAAUGUAUUAAAGCUUACAUUCAACACUAUACAUUCUACACAGAAUACAGUGUAUAAGGAAAUAUUCACCUGCUUCUUUAUAAUCGUACUGUUGGAUGACGUAGACUCAGAAAAUGACGACCGUGUGCCAGCAUUCGGAAUCCUUCGCCGACACGAAUCUAAAGAUGCUUGAUGAUGAGCAUUUGUGUGACGUCAUAUUAGCUGCCGGAAACGACCACAAUCGUCUGAAAUGUCACAAAUUUAUUCUGCAGUCGCAGUCCGGUGUUUCACGCCAUGUUUUGCGGCGCACUUGCUGAGUCAAGUAACGUCAUCAACAUACCGGAUAUCGAAGAGCCUAUUCUGAGGAUUCUAGUGAGGUAAUCGAUUUCAAACGGCCAGAGGACUUUAUAUUUGUUGUGAACAAUUAAGAUAUUCUAGUGUACAGGGAAAAUAAGUCUAAUAAUACACUUUACGCACAAGAGAACCUGGGAUCGGUAAAAUAGGCUCUAGAUCAAAUGUUGCAACAUGUUAUGACUUGUUUUGUUUUGCACGAGACUUAUCCGACUUCUUUUUAUCUCAAGCUCUGUUUUUGUUUUUGAUCUGGUCUUUUAAAGUCGGUGAUCAGCUCGCAUGCUCCUUAUUUCUAUAUACAUCGGACACUUGUCCUUUUUGGUUAUAUGGAAUGAAUAGGUAAACUCCUCACAGAAAAUGUGUACGAUACAUUAAACUUGAUAUGUAUUGCCUGUCCGUUUCUUUACACUUUUCUUUGUAAAAUUAAUAUAUUUUACUAAUAUUAAAAUCAGAUCCUUGAAAACGCCUUUUAGUGUAUUGGCGUGUAUAAUGUGCUUCUACUGUAGGAAAUAAUUAUAUAUGAUUACGAACAUCUAUGAUUGCAUCUGGGGUUUUGUUAUGGGGAGUGUGCUUUCCACGCGUGUCAAAGGAAGCAAAUGUUCCUGAAGAUAGUGAUUUCAGUGCUGUAUCUAUCAUUAUGCCACCAAUAGCUAACAUCUUCUGGAAGAAGCUUUGUAACACGAUAAGCGAUAUACUCUGGAAAUAGCUCUGCGCUUUGAUGAGUGUGUCCUUACACGACUCGGCACAUCCUCCGUUAAUGGCAAUCGUAAAAUAUUGAAGCCAAUCCCUGAAUGAUGUGAAUAUGCCAAGGUUGGAUUAACCUAUAUCCCGAUCAGACUAGAUCAUUUAAUACAAAUGUAUGCCCAGUGUCUGGCAUAAAAAUAGUAACAAAGGUUUUAAUUCAAAUUCCUCAUGCAUAAUACUAGUAUGCUUAUUUUGUUUAAACUUAUUAUGUGUGUAUUAUAAACUGGUAGGAGGGAAACGUAUAUGUGUUCUCCCUUUUAUGUGCGUGAAUACCAUUUUGAACCUGAGUAAAAUACUUUGUAAUUAUUUUCCAAGGAGAUAAACUUGCACUUUCUGUCGCAGAAUAUUAUUGUAUUUGUAUACCGUCUUGUUAUACCAUUAGACCCUAACAUAUUGACUGAUUGUAUUCAUAAAUGUAGCAUUAUUUGUGUUUAAUAAUAUUUCUAUGUUUCUUAUUGGCUUUUGUGGUCAUGUGCUUCAUUUAAAUAUUGUCUAUGUAGCAACAGAUAUACUUGCGUAGUAAAAUAUAACACCCUGA